Molecule: long non-coding RNA, 1034 nt
Organism: Ruditapes philippinarum (Manila clam)
Lineage: Eukaryota; Metazoa; Mollusca; Bivalvia; Venerida; Veneridae
Exons: 3
Source: RefSeq, a predicted model, not a curated record
UUCAUGAAACUUGUUGAAGGCUGACUUCUUUGCCAUUUUUUAAUGCAUGCUUAUUUGUCUUGAUAUUUUAUUUCAGGGAAUAAUAUAUUUUAGUGUCUGCAUCAAUCUUAUAGUUAUUGAGCAUGAAUGGAUUCUGUUUUCAGAUGAUGGAAUACACCAAUGCCUAGUACAAUCAUGGCCCAUUAGAAACCAGAACAAACCAUGGCUGCAAAGGAAAUAAGAUGCACAUAGUCUGAAAGAUCUGGCUGGUGUUCUGAAUAAGAUGACAUAAUAUCUCAACUGCAGAAGUACAGCUGGCAUGGAGGGGUUUCACCAGCACAUCUUGAUGUAUUGUACCAAAAGAUUUGCUUACACACCACCUGUUUAUAGGAUGCACAAUCUUCUAGCAGCCAUAGAUUAUAAUAUACAUGCAAAUAGACCAUACAUCACCAACAAGGGGGAUCUGUUAGACUUCAGCGAGUCUGGAUGAAUUAAAGAAGAAGAAAAAGUAUCAUUAUACCAUUUUUCAUGAUGCUAUAACUCUGAGAAUUAGUGACAUGGAGGGGAUAUAUAAAAUAGAAAGUUAGAGGAAGAUGACCCCCACAGACUUUCAAAAUAUUUGGCCCAAGUUAGCCCGAAGCCUACCCGAGCCAUUCAUGAGGAACAUAAAUCAAGAUAUGAUUGACUUUUUAUGGAAAAGAAUGAUAACUAGUGUGUUACACUGAUUGCCCAACUAUUCAAACAUAUUUAAGCUGACAUUGAACACCUGGUAUUCAUGAUAGUUUUAUGAAAUAUCUUUUUAGAUAUGGCACUGUAUCUAUCUUGUUUCGAAAAAAAUUCUCUUGAUUCAUUUGUCAUGACUCAAGGUCUGUUUUUAAUAUUUUGUCAGAAAAAUGACUACUUUUUAUACAAGUGCAAAAUAUUAUCCAAUCUAUUAAACUAUAAGUGCUGCUAUGAGCUUUAAUGUAGUAACGAAGUUAAAAGUAUUAUUCAAUUAUAUCUUUUGAUAUACAUGUACUAUGUCAUUCACUUUAGCUCAGCUUUUCUUUUUUCUU